CAGUGUAUAGUUUAAAUAAAAUAUUAAUUUUGGGGAUUAAAGUUAUGCCUUGCUUUUCACUGA
Molecule: transfer RNA, 63 nt
Filed under: Arocatus melanocephalus
Lineage: Eukaryota; Metazoa; Arthropoda; Insecta; Hemiptera; Lygaeidae
Description: tRNA-Pro
Source: RNAcentral